UGGGCGCGGGAGGCGGCGCCGCGCGGCUGGGGUGUCCGCAGCGCUGAGAGGGCAGGCUCGGCCCCGCCGCCGCCGCACAGGCCUCCGCCGCUCGGCACCCCCCGCGGCGCCUCGCAGCGCCGGUUCUGCACCCAGAGAGGCGCCCGGCGUUUAGCGGACCUCCAUGUACGACAAUUUGUACCUGCAUGGAUUUGAAGACUCGGAGGCGGGCUCAGCAGAUUCGUACACAAGCAGACCCUCAGACUCUGAUGUCUCUUUGGAAGAAGAUAGGGAAGCAAUCCGCCAAGAAAGAGAGCAGCAAGCAGCUAUUCAACUUGAAAGGGCAAAGUCCAAACCAGUAGCAUUUGCUGUUAAGACUAACGUGAGUUAUUGUGGAGCUCUGGAUGAAGAUGUUCCUGUCCCAAGCACUGCCAUCUCUUUUGAUGCCAAGGACUUCCUACACAUUAAAGAGAAAUAUAAUAAUGACUGGUGGAUAGGACGGCUGGUUAAGGAGGGCUGCGAGAUUGGCUUUAUUCCAAGCCCGCUUAGACUGGAGAAUAUCCGCAUUCAGCAGGAGCAGAAGAGAGGACGUUUCCAUGGAGGGAAAUCGAGUGGAAAUUCUUCUUCAAGUCUUGGAGAAAUGGUUUCUGGCACAUUUCGAGCCACACCUACUUCCACGGCAAAACAGAAACAAAAAGUGACAGAACACAUUCCCCCAUAUGAUGUAGUACCAUCAAUGAGACCUGUUGUCUUGGUGGGUCCAUCACUAAAAGGCUAUGAGGUGACAGACAUGAUGCAGAAAGCUCUCUUUGACUUCCUGAAGCACAGGUUUGAUGGGAGGAUAUCAAUAACUAGAGUGACAGCUGACAUCUCUCUUGCUAAGAGGUCUGUUCUAAAUAAUCCAAGCAAGAGGGCAAUAAUUGAGCGGUCAAAUACAAGAUCCAGUUUAGCUGAAGUACAGAGUGAAAUUGAAAGAAUCUUUGAGCUGGCAAGGUCCUUACAACUGGUUGUCCUAGAUGCAGACACUAUCAAUCACCCUGCACAACUUAUCAAGACAUCUUUAGCACCAAUUAUUGUCCAUGUUAAAGUGUCUUCUCCAAAGGUUUUGCAGCGACUGAUUAAAUCUAGAGGAAAGUCACAAAGUAAACACUUGAAUGUUCAGUUGGUGGCAGCUGAUAAACUUGCACAAUGCCCACCAGAAAUGUUUGAUGUAAUUUUGGAUGAAAAUCAGCUUGAAGAUGCUUGCGAACACUUGGCAGAAUAUCUUGAGGCGUAUUGGCGUGCUACUCACACCACCAGUAGCACACCCAUGACUCCUCUCCUCGGGCGAAAUUUAGGAUCCACUGCACUUUCACCAUAUCCUGCCGCAAUCUCUGGAUUACAGGGAUAGCUCAAAAACGGCUGAACUUUGAAACUUCAAACGUGGCAUGUAAAUAGUCCUUAAUGAGAAGUACGUGCUUUACUCAGUUUGAAAACAGAAAAUGUUUUUGAUUAAUAGUUAUGAAUGCUUGAGAAGAUCAGGAUUGCAGCGAACUUUUAAUUCUGAAUAUUUCAGGAGUUCUGUAUGUGUGUGACUUCCUAGGGGCGUGCACUUUCUAACAUAUGUCAACAGUAGAGUUGAGUGAAUUACAUGUAACGAAUAAUUCACCUGAGAAAUUUAACCUUUGUUCUGCUUGUAGUGUGUCUGGAAGCAGGUAACAAUUUUGAAGGAAAUGAUGCCUUGGUCAGUGUUUUCAAUUAACAUAAAGCUGUUUUUCCUGUGAGUGAAUUGCACUUCACUGGAGGUGCAUGUUACUCACAUUUCUAAUGCUGUGCUUGAUUUUAUUAGGAUCAGUAAGUCACUGUUUCCUCACUGGCUGAAUGCACAAGCAGUGUUCUGUUACUAAUGAUAUGCACAUGUAAACUGUUGUUUCCAUUUUCACUUGCCUUAAAAUUUCAGUUUUUCCAUCCCUUCAUGACAAUAAAAUACCAUCUGCAGAACUUCCACUUCUUCAGUUUCAUUUUGAAAACUGGGUGUAUCCACAGAAUUUUUUUCAGGCAUUUAUUUCUCUCUGAUCAAUGGACACCAGCAGUAACUGUGAAAUGUUGCUCCAUUUACUUAGGGAAAACUCACACUGAAGAUGAAAAUCACCCCUGUGCAGUGGGCUGGCUGAAGAGCCAGCGUAUGAGGCACAGCAGCCAUUCCGCAGAGAACUCUCCAAUCGAGCGACGAAGUCUAAUGACCUCAGAUGAAAAUUAUCACAAUGAAAGGGCUCGGAAGAGCAGGAACCGCUUGUCUUCCAGUUCCCAACACAGCCGAGAUCACUAUCCUCUAGUGGAAGAAGAAUACUCUGACUCAUACCAGGACACAUACAAACCCCACAGGAACCGAGGAUCCCCUGGAGGAUACAGCCAUGACUCACGACAUAGGCUUUGAGUUCAAGAACCUGGGGAAAAAUAGUAUUCAUCAGUUGAUAAUUGCCAUAACGUAGCUAGGAAAAGAAAUUAAAAAUCAAUCAUGUUAAUUUGGCAGAUGUAACACGGUCAUACUGAAGUUGCACUCUGCUGUCACUUGAUGUUAAGUAGGGGACAAAAAAAAGUUACCAGGCCCUUACGUUUAUGCCCGAUCAUAUAGGUUGUUUUUUGGGUUACUUAUUUUAUUUUUACUACAGCAUUUGCAUUUAUAGCCAUAUUUUCUUGUCGUUAGAUAUUAGACACAUCCGUUUGUAAUUUAGGGUACUUAUCAAGGCACUUAUAAAAUAAUUUCCUGUGCUGGAAAUUCCAAAUGACCAGUUCCAGUUGGAACCAAUUUAUAAACCAAUUCCUGUUGGAAUUCGGGUGAAUUGACUGGAAAGUCGACGUGAGCAUGUUGCAAUCAGUUAAAAAAAAAUGCAAAUGAAAAAUCUGAAAAUUAGAAACCACUAGAAGCCGGAAAGUCAGCUAUUUGUUUGCUGGAAGCUCAAUUUACAUUUAAAGUUAGAAUAAAAGGAUUUAUUCUAGCUACUUAUUUCCAGGAUGGCUUUUUCAGACAGACCAAAUGUAAACUAUUGAGAGUGCCAAAUAUCACAAAUUAUUGCAGCAGUUAUAAAAUACUUUCCAGUUUGAAAUUCUUUUUAGACCUGGCGUGAAUGUUGCAGCAAAACAAUUUCUUUAGUUUAGCCGGUACUGACAUUUUUGUUGCAGUCAGCAAUGAUGAACUAUGGCAGGAGAAGGGGAAAUAGAAAUGGGAAAAUGAACAAACUGAAGAAUAGUUUAUAUGGUUAGAGGUUGAGAAUAGCUUGCUUUUAGCCCUGUUCUUUCCCUAUUGUUUUCCCUAGCUAGUAGUCCCAAAAUUUAACAUUAGUGUGUAGAUACAUCUUUUCUCCCAUUUUUAGUAUUCUGCCUUUUAAAAUGGAAAACGAUACGCUCUUCCUACCCAGUCACUACAUUCCAGUACAUCUGAGUAUCUACCUGUAUGUUACAUCUUUCAAAAUCCAUCUUUGAAAUGUCUGAAAAUUCAAGCAUUGCACAAGAACUCUCCAGAAGAUCAGUUUAAACAUCAGUAAUGAGAUCUGAGGGAAGGAGGGGGGAGUAAAUGUUCGUAAAUGAUGAACAUUUAAAAUAACACAUUGGUCAGAUUGCAAUAAAAAUGGAAUAUCAGGAAAAAAUCGGCUCACAGCAAAGUGGUAGAACUGACAUUUUUGAUUCAAAGAACUAUGAUAAAUCUUUGGAGAUGUUGCUGCCUUACUUCCUAACAAUCACUUCUUUUCACCUACUGAGUCUUCAGUUUCUUUAAAUAGAUAAAUUGAUGUGAUUGGACCUUAUGUCUUACGGGAUCAGUGAAGCCUUAGAUCCAGUGUGACUGAAAAAUUUACCAUGAUAGACUGUUUUGUACAACCCUCUAAUGUCUUUAAGCAGAGACUCCUGGAAUUCCCCACUGCAUUUCUAAAAUCGACAGAACUGUGCUGAACAUGCAUUUUUUUAAUGCAGGUUCCUGUCAAAACUCCCCCCCCCCCCCCCCCGAGGAUAAUUGACUUUUAUAUUUGCUUGUUUUCUUCCCAAAGCCUGCUAAAAGUAGGCUUUUAACCACACAGCACUAAAUUAAUUUCAUGAGUAUUACUGUUUCUUCUAUUUUCUGGACCAGUUAGCAAAGAUCACUGGUAUCUUCCACCACCAUUGAGUCUGGUUAUCUUCUUGAUGUUAACAAGAAAAUUAAUUCAUCCCAUAUCCAGUACAACCAAAAAUUAUGUCCAUCUCUAGCAGUGUUAAAAGAUUGCGGAUGCAUGAUUAAUUUUUUAAACGUCACUGCCUAAAAGGCAGCCUUCAGCACCACUAGAUGAUUCGAACGAGCCAGUUACCAAAUAAAAAAAGGAAAAUACCUGCAUCCAUUGGAGUAGCAGAGUUAAGAAUUGAUGUGACAGGCCUGAUCGUCUAUGAUUUUCUCAGGCUAAAUGCUUGCAGGUUCCAAAAGGGCAUUUAGGCUGAGAAAGCAUGGCAGGAUCUGGCCUGGGAAGGGUGGCUUCAGCUGCCUCCUCUAAUAUUUUCUGCUAUAGCACAGUGGAGCAUUUUCCAGUAAUUUCUACAAAUCUCUGUUACAUGUACAGCACACCUACCUGCAUGAGAACGAAGGCAUUAGGCAAAACAUUUUUUCUAUAAGCUUUAAUAGGUUUCUUGUUUGUGUGCAUUAAAGUAUUGCAAAGGAUGCACUGAGAUGUAUAAACCUAGAUUAGCUGUUUAUCUUUAUUCUGUAGUAGCAUUAGGGAUCAGAUCAUUUAACUGCUUGAAGAUAUUUGCAUUUUAAUGGCAGGUAGCUGCGAAGCACCUACGUAUAUUUUCUAGUAAACAAGGUUACUGCUUUAUCAUUUCCUAGACAGAAAUGUCAUUUACUUCUAGAGCCUUUUGGAGCCUUGUUUUUAAGUCUUCCAUGUCAUGUUAGUGAAGGGAAAGGUCUACACAACACAUAUGCACAAAUUCCAUCACCUGCAGCAUCUGAAGUGCCAAAACUAAUUCAUUUGUUCUAAUCAGAACAAGCUUAAGAGGGAUGUCAUUGUCUUGAAAGAACACACCAAGUUCCUUUACUGUGUGACUUUAAGUUUACUUUGCUACUGUGUGUAAUUAGUUUACCCUCUCCUCUCCCACUGCCCAUUCCAUUUUAAUAUAAGAAAUCAGUUAGCAGUGAUCCAGCAGGUCUCCUUGCUUGCUGUUUUUUUAUUUUUUGAAGAUAGAUAUAUCUUUAAGUACAAAUAUACUGAACUUGCUAAUAGAUUAUUAAUUUAUUCUAGAUACAAGCUAUGGGAACUCUAUUUUAAAAAGUAAAUUAUUUUUAGGAAAUGCAGUAAUCAGUAAAAGCUGCAAUGUUGAUCAGGACAUGUUAACUCAUAGUAUUUGUAUUAGAACUUCAGCAGUGCUAGCCAGCUGUAUUGUGAUUUCUUCUGCAAUGGCGCUAUAUACAAUUGUGAAGUUCAUGUAUUCCUGAACGAACAUGAGUAAGACUAAUUUUCCGGUCCUCAUACCAUUUCUUCUUGUUAUUGUAAUAUUAUUAAAGAUACGAGUUCUGUUCAUAAGCUCUGGCUUAUACAGAGGAUUUUAGACAUACUGAUAAAACACUGAUUUUUUUUUAAGUUGUUGUUAUCUGAGUUUUCAUGAGGAUACUUUUGGAUUAAUGACAAUUUACCCAAUAAAGGUGGUAACAACAAUCUUGAUAUCUAACGAUAGUAUAUGUCAGGGCAUUCAUAUGUUUGUGAAUGAAUUAACAGAAGUUUUUAAAAUCUUGAAGCCACUUUAAAGACAAUUAAUUGAUAAACUUUUAAUUUAAAAUACUUUGGCAAGUUGUAUUUAACAGACGUACAGGUUGUUUUACUAGUUCCACAGAUGAACAUUUAUCCCAUGGGAUGUGCAACUCGCAACUGAUUAUGUUUUCUGAGUGUAUUAUGAAAUUAGGUUUAAAGGAAUGUAACUGAAGCUGUUCUGUAUCCAAUUUUAGUUUAUAAAUAGUGGACCAAAUCAGAUGAUCAUUUUCUAAACAGGUUGGUCUGACAAAAAUCAGUCCCUCUGCUUGAGAUUUGAUGGCAUAGUAUGGCCCACACCGAGAUUUCAUCCUGACAAACCAUCUUGCCAUGAGAAUAGGUGGCGUCCCUGAUUUUGGACUUGAUAAGCAUGAUCGGUUCCUGAAGCAUGUGUUGUUCCCUCAGCCUGCUUCUGAUCCCACAUGGGCCCAGAUAAAUUCCAUGUGCCUGGGAGGGGAGGUGGCUCCACAACUCACAGCCUUGCCAGUGGUGGCACUCACAGCGUUAGUGCUGGGUUUGCUGCAAAUAGAGGGUUUACUGUGUUUUCGCUAGGUUUGAAAGCUGCUUCUGAAGUUGAUAUUUGGGGGGUUAAUCUUUUGCGCUCCUUGCUUUUAAAAUAAUGUUUAAUACAUACUUCAGAGAGUGAAAAUUGCAAAAAGGAGGAAGUGAGCUGUAGGAAUAAUAAGGUGACGGUAGUUCCUCUGCAUGUGCAUAGGCCUGUAACUCCAAGUUCAGUUUGACUGAAAAUCUGAAUUCAGUUUGGACUCAAUGCCACAAGUCUCUGAAACAUCCCAGAAUCUCAUCUCUCUAUUGGCAUUACCAUUCUCAAAAUAAUACUUCUAGUACUAUUACUUUAUAGCAUACUCAUUUGAGUAAGUUAGGGCUCUCAUUUGUCCUUUUUUGUUUAAGAAUGUAUUAAAUGUGUCCUCUGCUAUAUUUUGUUUUACAAGUUCAGUGCUUCUGAAGCUUGACCUUGACUCCAUGGUCAUAAUUUUUUUUUUUUUUUAAGCAAAAGUAAUUGGAGACCACAGAUUAAAAAAUCAGAUGUGUGUUUUGUAAAAUACCACUUAUACAACUCUGAUUUUGUUCCUAAAAGUGUGUAUUUUAAAAUUGGGUUAUAUUACUGCAGUUGGUAUUAAUACAGGUUUGGAUCCAUGGGAUUCUGCUACCAUGUAUUUUGUUGCAGUUGCCUCUCCUUUCUUCAGAUAGCUCUACAAAGAGUAACAGGACUGCAAGAUGCUGUAAUGUAGCCAAUUUUAACUCCAGGGAAAGUAAGUUCCCUCUAUCUUUAAAACAACAACAAAAGUAAAUGUAUUAUUUGAAGAAUCUGCAUUUGAAUAACCUUUGUUAGGUUGUUAUUCAGUCCAAUUGAUUUUACAUAGAAAAAUAAAAGGACAUUUUAAUAAAGUGGUGAAAUAUAUGUAAGGAAUUAACUUGGAGAAAGAGCUGAAAAUGCUACUUAGUAUUGAAAUUUGUGCUGAGAUCCAUUUCAUUAUUUGUGGAAUGCAUUUAAGAAGAGAAGUACUGAAUCCAUAGAGAGAAUUUUGGAAGAAGAUAGACAUCAUUUUAAAACGUUAAUAAGAGCAUGUCAUUCCUUUAUUCCUUUGAACAUGGUGAAACUGGGAGUAGCUCUGGCUUGGUCUCAGGUUUACUAGACCUGUCUUUUCCCCUCAGAUUUUUUGGCAGUGAGUUACUAUCUGGACUAGAUCCUACAGACACCUACAACUGGACACAGAGUUUAUAACUGUCUGCUCUGAGAGUCAGUAUUUGCAAGGUCUGACCAUAAAUAUCACAUACUGAUUAUCAGAUGCCUUAUCAGUAUUUCCUGAAAAACAAAAUGUAAUUAAAUUUAACGCCACAGUCCCCUUUGAUAUGCAUUCUACUCUGUAUAAGCAGUAGAAAAUCAAUAUAGUGAGAAAAUCUAUUGUACAGUACAGAAUAAUAUAUUUUGCCAAUGAUGUAAAAACAGAGCAAGGAAAAAGAAGCACAUUUGUAAUAGCACAAAUUUACAAUAAUUCCACUAUUGCAUUUGGUGGUGUAUUUUUGAAAAAAGGAGGUAGACUUUUUGAUCCAGCAUCAGUGGAUUUAUUGCAUUUUUGAUCAGUUUAACUUGCUGUCUGAUACUUCAGGUUUAUUUUAUGCAUAUGUGAUUGUUUUUUCAAAAACGGUAUCCUUCCAUAUUAAUUAAGGAAAAAAAACCCAAACCUUUUGAAUUAGAAAGUCCACUGCAUUUCUUGCCAAUUUCCUCCUCAAUGCUGAAAUUACAUUAAAUAACUUCUGAUUUUGGCCACUGUAUAGAUUUUUGGCAUAUGACUGAUGAAUACACCACGAAUACACUAGGAGCCCAAGGUCAGGAGUGAACUACUCCCAGUAAAUAAGUUCUUGGGGCUGCAGAGCUACUUGCUUUAAUGUAUGGGAACGGGGAGGUGGGGGAAGAGAAUAUUACUCUGCAAGAGCUGUGGACAAGUACACCCAAAACCUUCCACUGAUACUGCUGGGAAUUUAAAAUGGGAGGAAAGUAAGCUUAAGGAAUGUGUGCGUGGGGCCAAGGUGUAUUUGCAUUGGAAACACACCAGAUUCUCUUCUCAUGCAGAGAAAGUCAGUGAUACCGUACCAGAAUAGCAUAGGAAGAGAAUCAAGCAAAAUGCAAACUGUAUGUACACAUGAGAAAUAGAGGGAUGAAGAAGGAUGAAAACGGUCAUUCGAAACUAUGGACCUUGGGCUUCUCAGAUCCCAGAAAAUCUCCAUUUCUCACCCAAACUGGUUCCCAGUGAUAACUUGGCAGUGUUACUUCCAGCCUCACUGGGAGACAGUUCAGAGUCACGCUGGUAAAGACAUUACUGCCUUUACAAAAAAAAAAAACCAAAAACCCAAAAGUAAAAAUACACCCACAAAUGUGUGUUUUCUGCUGAUUUGCCCCUUUCUGGUUUUCCUUCUAUAGAUACUGUAUGUGUAGCAUUCUACAAGGCAUGCUGGGUAAAAUAUACUAUGCAAAUGUGUACAGUGUUGCAUGCUUUGCUCUCCCUCUGCUUUUAGUGGCUUUCAAAGAAAGAAAAGUGGUGUUAUUUUUGUGACCAGAAUCAUUUAAAAAGGACAAUGCAGACUGCAUGCUGAUAGUAUCCUCAUUUCUAUGGAUUUGUUUUAUGGAAUUUAGAUGUACAAAAAUGAACUGCAUUACAAUAACUUUUCUACAAUAAAUGAAAAAACUACAAAC
RNA transcript from Strigops habroptila (Kakapo), 8937 nucleotides. It is a transcript of the gene named calcium voltage-gated channel auxiliary subunit beta 4, with no coding region annotated. The transcript has 14 exons. NCBI's taxonomy places the organism in Eukaryota, Metazoa, Chordata, Aves, Psittaciformes, Psittacidae. The record is from RefSeq and is a predicted model, not a curated record.